This 4378-nucleotide long non-coding RNA is filed under the name Spirodela polyrhiza (greater duckweed). Its description in RNAcentral is "long non-coding RNA (SPOL_LNC000619)". Lineage: Eukaryota; Viridiplantae; Streptophyta; Magnoliopsida; Alismatales; Araceae. The record is from RNAcentral.
UCGGACCGUGCGGAUAGCUAGAUUUUUUUUGGGUCUGCUUCUGGAGGUUGCUAGUGGUCGACUUCUUCGCGCCGUUAAUGGCGGCACGCGUUCCUCCGAUCUCCCGAAGCUCUCUGGUGAAGUUCCUCCUCCUCCUCCCCCUCCUCCUGUAGAAAUUGUCCGGAGGGAUCGCUCUGCUGGAGGAUCAUCGGUCGGGCGGGGAGGAGAAUCGGCGCCCGGCAUUCAUCGGAUUCACACGGCUGCCGGCGUUAGGGUCGAAACCAGAGGCCAUUUCAGCGCUGUAGAGAGAGAGUAGGCGUCGGCUUUUGAACGAUGGAAUGCAGAGCGGAUUCCGGAAACGCGCUCCAUUUCCGGCAAAUCAAAGGUUUUCCCUCCUCUUCCUCUCUCUCUCUCUCUCUCUCUCUCUCUCUCUCUCUCUCUAGAUCAGCGGAAGUUUUCACGCUUCCCUGCGUGUUUUACCUACUCAAUCGAAAGUCAUCUGCUCAUUGAUUCAUGAAAAAGUUUGCUGCCUCGCGUCAUGCACCAUAUGAGAACAAGAAAAUUUCAAAACGUUCCGUACUUCCACCUUGAGACGCUAGAUCGGAGCAAGAAUAAGAGGGAGGCGGAAAAGGAAGUUCAUUACGAACGUCUUUCACUUUUGCCGUGCGGAACCCCAAGAUGAUCAGUCCCCCCUUUAUUUCCCCAUCCGGGAUUAAGAUGUGGACCAAGUUGACAUCGAAAACUCAUUUCACAGGAGCAGUUCAAGGCUUCCGAAGAAGGAUAUACAGCACUACAGAGGGGUAGCAACAAUCCCCAAAUAGCAAACAUGAAAUUUUGAGGAUUCGUUUGAAGCUCAUCAGUAGGUACAUUAUGCAAAAAAAAAUUGUCUCAGAGGAGUGGAUGGAUGAAGCUAUUUGAUGAAACUUGUGUGCUGCAUGUGUGAUCGGUGGCCCUUUCUUUGUGUAUCAUUUCAAGAAGAUUUGCUUCCAUCAUCUCUGCUUCCGCUUGCUAUGUUUCAAGGGAAGACAACAGCCUGAUGUCGGCGACCCCAGUAACUGCAGUUCUUCCAGACGGCUAGAACAUGGCACCUGACAGAAUUAGAUCGAGUUUAGCCGAUUAAGAUGCCAGAAAUGAACCCCAGUGUUUCAGGUCCCUAUCGAUCGAAAUGACAUAAAUGAAACAUUUCACAUAAAUGUCAACGCAUCUGGGGGUACCUGGAGUUGUCUUUGAACCAAGAGGUGAGAAGGGAGUUGACUUCGGACCCGAUCUAGACGGCAAAGGGCUGAAAGUUGGUGUGUGACCAAAAGAAGGCAUCGGACCAGAUGUUGGCAUCCGUGGUCUCAUGGUAGCGGGAUACGGUUCCCUUGUGUCUACAACUACCACAUCCGAGGUAAGAAAAGUUUUGGCGACAGAAGCUGCAUGCUCCACGCAGCAUCUAACCACCUGUUGACAUUUUGCACAGGAGAUGAAUAAAUCCCGCAUUCACAAUCAAGUACAUGAAGACAGAUAUUGAAUGCGAGGGUUAACUGAGCAGCAAGAAAAUAUGAUUAUUUUCAAGGUGUUGCUCUCAGAUAUUUGCGGGCCACGUACCUUUGAUGGGUCUAAGAUUCCUGCACCCAUCAAGUCCUCAUAACUAUCUUUCGCUGCAUUAUAUCCAUAUCUGUUGUCAUUGGAGGAUAGAAUCUGCAAGUAGAAUAAGGCGUUAUAUUCUACUCCUCUAAAGGAGAAAGGCUCAUCCUUCAUCCUGUCUCCCAGCAUUAUGUUCAUAAUUUUUUCCAUCACGUCGCCUUUUAAUCGAAAUAUUCGGUUAAAAAAAAAAAUCGGUGUUUGUGUCGUUAUAGAGGAAGAAAUGUGAACCUUCUGAAUGACGACACUGCCAUUAACGCCUGCAUUUUUAGCUAUGAGCUUUGUGGGAUAGCUUAGAGCCCUCUUGAAGAUGUCAGCACCAACCUGCAGAAUAUAGGCAUAAAUAGCCUUAAUAGAGAUCUAGAAGUAUUUAAGGGUUGCAUGGUUCAAACAAUUAUAAAAACUGGUACCUUCUGCUCUUCAUUAUCCAGAGAAUUCUUAAUAUCGUCCACCUUCAGAGAUAGCCUCAACAAGCUACAGCCACCUCCAACAACAACACCUUCUUCAAUGGCUGCCUGCAAUACAAACGCUCAAUUCUGAAACCUCUGGCAAUUAAUCUGCCAGGAAGCAUGCAUGGUCUCGGAAUUACUUUGGUCGCAUUCAGAGCAUCCUCAACUCUCAGCAUUUUGUUCUUCAACUCGACUUCCGUCGGUGCACCUACCUGUCAUUUGUUGUUUAGAAAAUAUUUGUACCUGAGAUGAUGCAAGAGCUCAGAAAUAGGGCGCCGCAUAUGUUGGAAUGGAUUGGCUUGCCACCUUCGACAUGUACCGCCAUUACCUGAAGAAUCGCAACCCCACUGGAUAGUCUUGCAAUUCUCUCGCUCAGUAUUUUCUUCUUGAACGUCUCUUUAGUGUUCUGAAACAAGAAAGAGAUGUGUAUUAAGACCAUGCUUUAAGAAAAUUGCCAAGAGAAGGCUACAUGUAGGAAUCUACUUGAUUCAAGUCCAGCAUAUUACUUGGGGCUACUUGAUCUGCACAAUAAAUUUCAUAUUAAUUUUCCUUUAAUGUCUAGCCCUCAGGACCCUAGAUUGAGACCCUAUCCUGGUUCAGCAUGCCCAUAACCACGAGUCUUGUUCUAGGGGAUGGAAUUGGAGACUAAGGUCUUGAUAUGAUAACCAGAUAGCUGACUUAGAAUUUAAUGCUGAGUGCAAACCCAAAUUCUAAGACAAAUUACUAGUCCCCACUGUUUUCAUUUACAACCAGUUUUCUUUUACAUUAAAAUUUGUAUCCUGCUUCGCAUAUCUUGCACCAUUUAUUUUAAUUUGCACGCCACAUUUAUUAAUAAAACAUGCAAAAAAGAAUUAUUUCUUCAAGGAGCUUUGAAAUCUCAUACUAGUGUUACCUCGAAUAAUGCAAAUCAUGAACAAAGAAACUAGCAUCACGAACCUCAACAAGACUUGCAAUCUGCUUUAUCCGCUUCUCCACAGAAUCUUGUGUGCUUCCAUCAGUGACCAGCAAGGUAGAAUCUUUACUUACAACCACCUUUGACGCGGACCCUAACACUUCCUUCCCGACCUUCUCGAGACUAAGUCCCACAUCAUCUCUAACCACAGUACCUGCUCCGCAGACAGAAACCACAGGAGAAGGGACCAGGGCCCCAUCAGACGAAAACCCCACACCACACUCCUCCAUGUUUCCUGAGAAAAAGUCAACUGGAGGCCACAAGAAAAUCAGGAUAUAUAUCUCUUAUUGCAGAUAAGUACCUCCGGUCAGGAUGGCGAUGUCGUCAAGGUAGUGACUCUUGCGCUCUCCAAAGGCAGGAGCUUUAAUGACGGCCACCUUCAGCAGACCUCUGAGCUUGUUUCUGAUUAUUGGAGCCAGCGCUUCCUGUUCGACACUCUCCCCGACUAUCAAAAGAGGGUAUUUUUCUCUGACUGCACCGUCCAAUAUCCUGGACAUCUCUUUCGCACUUGUGAUUUUUUUAUCAACCAAAAGCACCUGCGCGAAUAAAACGGAAUAAAUGGAUUCAUAGUUCAUAAUGAUCAUGCGAGAUGCAAAUGAUAGCUCUCACCUGACCUUGCAAUUCUCAAAUUCUGCCGUCCUGUUUGCUCGAUCUGUGACGAAGUAAGGCGACAAGUAACCGCGGUCGAACUGCAUUCCUUCUACAACUUCCAAGGUGUUCUCUGUGGACCUGCCUUUCUCAAUCCUCACCACGCCCUUCCUCCCAACUCUUCGCAGGGCCUCCGCUACCAUGUUUCCUACUGAGUAGUCGUUCCCGGCGCUCACCGCAGCAACAUCAGCGAUUUCACUGUCUUCAACCUGCAGAAUGCGAAUGCUUCAGCUUCAAGUGUUCCCCUACAAGAUGGACGAGAGACUACUAGACGCAGACUUUCAACAGCAUAAGCAUUUUCCAAGAAUGUUGAUAAAGGAAGCCUGCUGGCAAAUUUUAACCCACGGGUCAGAUACUCUUAGUUGUAAUUGACUUGGAAUUAUGCAAUGUGGGGGGGGGCACUGAGAACAUAUUUAUUUACUUCAUGUCAAGGGGUCAGUACGCACUGCAGUGGUGGAAUUAACCAGAACUCAGUCAUCUGGCCUCCGAGUUGAUGAAUUAUAUUCACCUAUGUGAACAUGCUUGUUAAGACGUCUCACUUAAAAUACGACUGACUGCAAAAUGAAGGUACAGUCCUCCGUCUGGCUGGAAAUGGGCACAAGAGCCCGGUCCGUACAUUCAUUUACUACACACAAACAGGCCCAGUGCGAUACAAGAGCUACUGAUCUUCUCAAAGGUUCUUCGCAAGAACCAGAUGGACUUUCCCUUUGAACCCAGCCCCUAC